This 301-nucleotide ribosomal RNA is filed under the name uncultured bacterium. RNAcentral's name for it is "partial 16S ribosomal RNA". It matches the Rfam family "Bacterial small subunit ribosomal RNA", at positions 509 to 807 of the family's 1533-position model. The record is from RNAcentral.
CAGUAGCCACGGGAAAACGUAGGGCGCAAGCGUUAUCCGGAAUUAUUGGGCGUAAAGAGCUCGUAGGCGGUUUGUCGCGUCUGCCGUGAAAGUCCGGGGCUCAACCCCGGAUCUGCGGUGGGUACGGGCAGACUAGAGUGAUGUAGGGGAGACUGGAAUUCCUGGUGUAGCGGUGAAAUGCGCAGAUAUCAGGAGGAACACCGAUGGCGAAGGCAGGUCUCUGGGCAUUAACUGACGCUGAGGAGCGAAAGCAUGGGGAGCGAACAGGAUUAGAUACCCCGGUAGUCCCUGUCUCUUAUAC